UGGGGAAUAUUGCACAAUGGGCGCAAGCCUGAUGCAGCCAUGCCGCGUGUAUGAAGAAGGCCUUCGGGUUGUAAAGUACUUUCAGUCGGGAGGAAGGUGGUAAGGUUAAUAACCUUAUCAAUUGACGUUACCGACAGAAGAAGCACCGGCUAACUCCGUGCCAGCAGCCGCGGUAAUACGGAGGGUGCAAGCGUUAAUCGGAAUUACUGGGCGUAAAGCGCACGCAGGCGGUUGAUUGAGUCAGAUGUGAAAUCCCCGGGCUUAACCCGGGAAUUGCAUCUGAUACUGGUCAGCUAGAGUCUUGUAGAGGGGGGUGGAAUUGCAGGUGUAGCGGUGAAAUGCGUAGAGAUGUGGAGGAAGACCGGUGGCGAAGGCGGCCCCCUGGACAAAGACUGACGCUCAGGUGCGAAAGCGUGGGGAGCAAACAGG
This 429-nucleotide ribosomal RNA is filed under the name Chloroflexota bacterium. Its description in RNAcentral is "Chloroflexi bacterium partial 16S ribosomal RNA". It matches the Rfam family "Bacterial small subunit ribosomal RNA", at positions 355 to 776 of the family's 1533-position model. The record is from RNAcentral. Lineage: Bacteria; Bacillati; Chloroflexota.